This 847-nucleotide ribosomal RNA is filed under the name Boeremia exigua var. exigua. RNAcentral describes it as "eukaryotic LSU rRNA". The stretch from base 1 to 188 matches the Rfam family "Eukaryotic small subunit ribosomal RNA", at positions 1646 to 1831 of the family's 1831-position model. Lineage: Eukaryota; Fungi; Ascomycota; Dothideomycetes; Pleosporales; Didymellaceae. The record is from RNAcentral.
UACGUCCCUGCCCUUUGUACACACCGCCCGUCGCUACUACCGAUUGAAUGGCUCAGUGAGGCCUCCGGACUGGCUCGAAGAGGUUGGCAACGACCACUUCGAGCCGGAAAGUUCGUCAAACUCGGUCAUUUAGAGGAAGUAAAAGUCGUAACAAGGUUUCCGUAGGUGAACCUGCGGAAGGAUCGUUACCUAGAGUUGUAGGCUUUGCCUACCAUCUCUUACCCAUGUCUUUUGAGUACCUUCGUUUCCUCGGCGGGUCCGCCCGCCGAUUGGACAAACUUAAACCCUUUGUAAUUGAAAUCAGCGUCUGAAAAAACAUAAUAGUUACAACUUUCAACAACGGAUCUCUUGGUUCUGGCAUCGAUGAAGAACGCAGCGAAAUGCGAUAAGUAGUGUGAAUUGCAGAAUUCAGUGAAUCAUCGAAUCUUUGAACGCACAUUGCGCCCCUUGGUAUUCCAUGGGGCAUGCCUGUUCGAGCGUCAUUUGUACCUUCAAGCUCUGCUUGGUGUUGGGUGUUUGUCUCGCCUUUGCGUGUAGACUCGCCUUAAAACAAUUGGCAGCCGGCGUAUUGAUUUCGGAGCGCAGUACAUCUCGCGCUUUGCACUCAUAACGACGACGUCCAAAAAGUACUUUUUACACUCUUGACCUCGGAUCAGGUAGGGAUACCCGCUGAACUUAAGCAUAUCAAUAAGCGGAGGAAAAGAAACCAACAGGGAUUGCCCUAGUAACGGCGAGUGAAGCGGCAACAGCUCAAAUUUGAAAUCUGGCGUCUUUGGCGUCCGAGUUGUAAUUUGCAGAGGGCGCUUUGGCAUUGGCAGCGGUCCAAGUUCCUUGGAACAGGACGUCA